GGGCUUGACAUCCCACGAACCUGCCCGAAAAGGUGGGGUGCCCGCAAGGGAGCGUGGAGACAGGUGGUGCAUGGCUGUCGUCAGCUCGUGUCGUGAGAUGUUGGGUUAAGUCCCGCAACGAGCGCAACCCUCACCCCUAGUUGCCACCGGGUUAAGCCGAGCACUCAAGGGGAACUGCCAGCGUCAAGCUGGAGGAAGGCGGGGAUGACGUCAAGUCAUCAUGCCCCUUACGCCCUGGGCUACACACGUGCUACAAUGGCCAGUACAAAGGGACGCGAGACUGCGAAGUGGAGCUAAUCCCAAAAAGCCGGUCUAAGUUCAGAUUGCAGUCUGCAACUCGACUGCAUGAAGGAGGAAUCGCUAGUAAUCGCGUAUCAGCCCGGCGCGGUGAAUACGUUCCCGGGCCUUGUACACACCGCCCGUCACACCACGAAAGCUGUCUGUACUCGAAGUCGCUGAG
Molecule: ribosomal RNA, 460 nt
Filed under: uncultured Methylomirabilota bacterium
Lineage: Bacteria; Methylomirabilota (SeqCode)
Description: bacterial SSU rRNA
Rfam family: Bacterial small subunit ribosomal RNA
Source: RNAcentral